AGUCACUGACAUUAGAUACCCCGGUAGUCCCAGCCGUAAACAAUGUGCGUUAGGUAUGUCGGUAACCACGUGUUACUGAUGUGCCGAAGAGAAAUCGUGAAACGCACCACCUGGGAAGUGCGGUCGCAAGGCUGAAACUUAAAGGAAUUGGCGGGGAGCACCACAACAGGUGGAGCCUGCGGUUUAAUUGGAUUCAACGCCGGACAUCUCACCGGAUAAGACGGCUGAAUGAUUGUCAAUCUGAAGGUUUUACAUGACUAGCUG
This 264-nucleotide ribosomal RNA is filed under the name uncultured archaeon. RNAcentral's name for it is "partial 16S ribosomal RNA". It matches the Rfam family "Archaeal small subunit ribosomal RNA", at positions 718 to 982 of the family's 1478-position model. The record is from RNAcentral.